This 422-nucleotide ribosomal RNA is filed under the name uncultured bacterium. RNAcentral describes it as "partial 16S ribosomal RNA". It matches the Rfam family "Bacterial small subunit ribosomal RNA", at positions 359 to 773 of the family's 1533-position model. The record is from RNAcentral.
GAAAUUUGGCAAAUGGGGGAAACCCUAAUCCAGCCAUCCGGCGUGUGCGAUGAGGGCCUUCGGGUUGAGAAGCAUUUUUGGCAGGGAAGAAAAGGCUCUGGCUAAUACCUGGAGCUGCUGACGGUCCCUGCCGAAUACGCACCGGAUAACUAAGGGCCAGCCGCGGCGGUAAUACGUAGGGUGCAAGCGUUCAGCGGAAUUACUGGGCGUAAAGCGUGCGCAGGCGGUUCGGCAAGAAGGAUGUGAAAUCCCAGGGCUUAACCUUGGAACUGCAUUCUUAACUGCCGGGCUAGAGUAUGUCAGAGGGGGGUAGAAUUCCGCGUGUAGCAGUGAAAUGCGUAGAGAUGCGGAGGAAUACCGAUGGCGAAGGCAGCCCCCUGGGAUAAUACUGACGCUCAUGCACGAAAGCGUGGGGAGCAAAC